Molecule: ribosomal RNA, 497 nt
Filed under: uncultured bacterium
Lineage: Bacteria
Description: partial 16S ribosomal RNA
Rfam family: Bacterial small subunit ribosomal RNA
Source: RNAcentral
GACGAACGCUGGCGGCGUGCCUAAUACAUGCAAGUUGAGCGAUGAAGAUUGGUGCUUGCACCAAUUUGAAGAGCAGCGAACGGGUGAGUAACGCGUGGGGAAUCUGCCUUUGAGCGGGGGACAACAUUUGGAAACGAAUGCUAAUACCGCAUAACAACUUUAAACAUAAGUUUUAAGUUUGAAAGAUGCAAUUGCAUCACUCAAAGAUGAUCCCGCGUUGUAUUAGCUAGUUGGUGAGGUAAAGGCUCACCAAGGCGAUGAUACAUAGCCGACCUGAGAGGGUGAUCGGCCACAUUGGGACUGAGACACGGCCCAAACUCCUACGGGAGGCAGCAGUAGGGAAUCAUCGGCAAUGGACGAAAGUCUGACCGAGCAACGCCGCGUGAGUGAAGAAGGGUUUCGGAUCGUAAAACUCUGUUGGUAGAGAAGAACGUUGGUGAGAGUGGAAAGCUCAUCAAGUGACGGUAACUACACAGAAAGGGACGGCUAACUACGUG